Molecule: ribosomal RNA, 453 nt
Filed under: uncultured Paraprevotella sp.
Lineage: Bacteria; Pseudomonadati; Bacteroidota; Bacteroidia; Bacteroidales; Prevotellaceae
Description: partial 16S ribosomal RNA
Rfam family: Bacterial small subunit ribosomal RNA
Source: RNAcentral
ACGGAAGGCAGCAGUGAGGAAUAUUGGUCAAUGGGCGGAAGCCUGAACCAGCCAAGUAGCGUGAGGGACGACGGCCCUACGGGUUGUAAACCUCUUUUGUUCGGGAAUAAAGGGUCCCACGUGUGGGAUUUUGCAUGUACCGUUCGAAUAAGCAUCGGCUAAUUCCGUGCCAGCAGCCGCGGUAAUACGGAAGAUGCGAGCGUUAUCCGGAUUUAUUGGGUUUAAAGGGAGCGUAGGCGGUCCUUUAAGUCAGCGGUCAAACGUCGGGGCCCAACCCCGGCCUGCCGUUGAUACUGGAGGACUUGAAUACACACAAGGAAGGUGGAAUUCGUCGUGUAGCGGUGAAAUGCUUAGAUAUGACGAAGAACUCCGAUUGCGAAGGCAGCCUUCUGGAGUGCGAUUGACGCUGAGGCUCGAAAGCGCGGGUAUCAAACAGGAUUAGAUACCCUGGUA